GACGAACGCUGGCGGCGUGCUUAACACAUGCAAGUCGAACGGAAAGGCCCUGCUUUUGCGGGGUGCUCGAGUGGCGAACGGGUGAGUAACACGUGAGUAACCUGCCCUUGACUUUGGGAUAACUUCAGGAAACUGGGGCUAAUACCGGAUAGGAGCUCCUGCUGCAUGGUGGGGGUUGGAAAGUUUCGGCGGUUGGGGAUGGACUCGCGGCUUAUCAGCUUGUUGGUGGGGUAGUGGCUUACCAAAGCUUUGACGGGUAGCCGGCCUGAGAGGGUGACCGGCCACAUUGGGACUGAGAUACGGCCCAGACUCCUACGGGAGGCAGCAAUGGGGAAUAUUGCACAAUGGGCGGAAGCCUGACGCAGCAACGCCGCGUGCGGGAUGACGGCCUUCGGGUUGUAAACCGCUUUCGCCUGUGACGAAGCGUGAGUGACGGUAAUGGGUAAAGAAGCACCGGCUAACUACGUG
RNAcentral lists this ribosomal RNA (468 nucleotides) under uncultured bacterium. RNAcentral describes it as "partial 16S ribosomal RNA". It matches the Rfam family "Bacterial small subunit ribosomal RNA", at positions 28 to 507 of the family's 1533-position model. The record is from RNAcentral.